This 2902-nucleotide ribosomal RNA is filed under the name Klebsiella pneumoniae. Its description in RNAcentral is "23S ribosomal RNA". It matches the Rfam family "Bacterial large subunit ribosomal RNA". The record is from RNAcentral. Lineage: Bacteria; Pseudomonadati; Pseudomonadota; Gammaproteobacteria; Enterobacterales; Enterobacteriaceae.
GGUUAAGCGACUAAGCGUACACGGUGGAUGCCCUGGCAGUCAGAGGCGAUGAAGGACGUGCUAAUCUGCGAAAAGCGUCGGUAAGGUGAUAUGAACCGUUAUAACCGGCGAUGUCCGAAUGGGGAAACCCAGUGCAAUUCGUUGCACUAUCGUUAACUGAAUACAUAGGUUAACGAGGCGAACCGGGGGAACUGAAACAUCUAAGUACCCCGAGGAAAAGAAAUCAACCGAGAUUCCCCCAGUAGCGGCGAGCGAACGGGGAGCAGCCCAGAGUCUGAAUCAGCUUGUGUGUUAGUGGAACGGUCUGGAAAGUCCGACGGUACAGGGUGAUAGUCCCGUACACCAAAAUGCACAGGCUGUGAACUCGAAGAGUAGGGCGGGACACGUGGUAUCCUGUCUGAAUAUGGGGGGGACCAUCCUCCAAGGCUAAAUACUCCUGACUGACCGAUAGUAAACCAGUACCGUGAGGGAAAGGCGAAAAGAACCCCGGCGAGGGGAGUGAAAAAGAACCUGAAACCGUGUACGUACAAGCAGUGGGAGCACCUUCGGGUGUGACUGCGUACCUUUUGUAUAAUGGGUCAGCGACUUAUAUUCUGUAGCAAGGUUAACCGUAUAGGGGAGCCGCAGGGAAACCGAGUCUUAACUGGGCGUUAAGUUGCAGGGUAUAGACCCGAAACCCGGUGAUCUAGCCAUGGGCAGGUUGAAGGUUGGGUAACACUAACUGGAGGACCGAACCGACUAAUGUUGAAAAAUUAGCGGAUGACUUGUGGCUGGGGGUGAAAGGCCAAUCAAACCGGGAGAUAGCUGGUUCUCCCCGAAAGCUAUUUAGGUAGCGCCUCGUGAAUUCAUCUUCGGGGGUAGAGCACUGUUUCGGCUAGGGGGUCAUCCCGACUUACCAACCCGAUGCAAACUACGAAUACCGAAGAAUGUUAUCACGGGAGACACACGGCGGGUGCUAACGUCCGUCGUGAAGAGGAAACAACCCAGACCGCCAGCUAAGGUCCCAAAGUCAUGGUUAAGUGGGAAACGAUGUGGGAAGGCACAGACAGCCAGGAUGUUGGCUUAGAAGCAGCCAUCAUUUAAAGAAAGCGUAAUAGCUCACUGGUCGAGUCGGCCUGCGCGGAAGAUGUAACGGGGCUAAACCAUGCACCGAAGCUGCGGCAGCGACACUAUGUGUUGUUGGGUAGGGGAGCGUUCUGUAAGCCUGCGAAGGUGACCUGUGAGGGUUGCUGGAGGUAUCAGAAGUGCGAAUGCUGACAUAAGUAACGAUAAAGCGGGUGAAAAGCCCGCUCGCCGGAAGACCAAGGGUUCCUGUCCAACGUUAAUCGGGGCAGGGUGAGUCGACCCCUAAGGCGAGGCCGAAAGGCGUAGUCGAUGGGAAACAGGUUAAUAUUCCUGUACUUGGUGUUACUGCGAAGGGGGGACGGAGAAGGCUAUGUUAGCCGGGCGACGGUUGUCCCGGUUUAAGCAUGUAGGCUGGUUGUCCAGGCAAAUCCGGAUAAUCAAGGCUGAGGUGUGAUGACGAGGCACUACGGUGCUGAAGUAACAAAUGCCCUGCUUCCAGGAAAAGCCUCUAAGCAUCAGGUAACAUUAAAUCGUACCCCAAACCGACACAGGUGGUCAGGUAGAGAAUACCAAGGCGCUUGAGAGAACUCGGGUGAAGGAACUAGGCAAAAUGGUGCCGUAACUUCGGGAGAAGGCACGCUGGUGUGUAGGUGAAGUCCCUGCGGAUGGAGCUGAGACCAGUCGAAGAUACCAGCUGGCUGCAACUGUUUAUUAAAAACACAGCACUGUGCAAACACGAAAGUGGACGUAUACGGUGUGACGCCUGCCCGGUGCCGGAAGGUUAAUUGAUGGGGUUAUCCGUAAGGAGAAGCUCUUGAUCGAAGCCCCGGUAAACGGCGGCCGUAACUAUAACGGUCCUAAGGUAGCGAAAUUCCUUGUCGGGUAAGUUCCGACCUGCACGAAUGGCGUAAUGAUGGCCAGGCUGUCUCCACCCGAGACUCAGUGAAAUUGAACUCGCUGUGAAGAUGCAGUGUACCCGCGGCAAGACGGAAAGACCCCGUGAACCUUUACUAUAGCUUGACACUGAACAUUGAGCCUUGAUGUGUAGGAUAGGUGGGAGGCUUUGAAGCGUGGACGCCAGUCUGCGUGGAGCCAACCUUGAAAUACCACCCUUUAAUGUUUGAUGUUCUAACGUUGGCCCCUGACCGGGGUUGCGGACAGUGUCUGGUGGGUAGUUUGACUGGGGCGGUCUCCUCCCAAAGCGUAACGGAGGAGCACGAAGGUUAGCUAAUCCUGGUCGGACAUCAGGAGGUUAGUGCAAUGGCAUAAGCUAGCUUGACUGCGAGCGUGACGGCGCGAGCAGGUGCGAAAGCAGGUCAUAGUGAUCCGGUGGUUCUGAAUGGAAGGGCCAUCGCUCAACGGAUAAAAGGUACUCCGGGGAUAACAGGCUGAUACCGCCCAAGAGUUCAUAUCGACGGCGGUGUUUGGCACCUCGAUGUCGGCUCAUCACAUCCUGGGGCUGAAGUAGGUCCCAAGGGUAUGGCUGUUCGCCAUUUAAAGUGGUACGCGAGCUGGGUUUAGAACGUCGUGAGACAGUUCGGUCCCUAUCUGCCGUGGGCGCUGGAGAAUUGAGGGGGGCUGCUCCUAGUACGAGAGGACCGGAGUGGACGCAUCACUGGUGUUCGGGUUGUCAUGCCAAUGGCACUGCCCGGUAGCUAAAUGCGGAAGAGAUAAGUGCUGAAAGCAUCUAAGCACGAAACUUGCCCCGAGAUGAGUUCUCCCUGAGACUUUAAGUCUCCUGAAGGAACGUUGAAGACGACGACGUUGAUAGGCCGGGUGUGUAAGCGCAGCGAUGCGUUGAGCUAACCGGUACUAAUGAACCGUGAGGCUUAACCUU